Molecule: long non-coding RNA, 342 nt
Filed under: Mytilus galloprovincialis (Mediterranean mussel)
Lineage: Eukaryota; Metazoa; Mollusca; Bivalvia; Mytilida; Mytilidae
Source: RNAcentral
AAAAAAUCCCACCUGCGCUUUCUCAAAGAAACUUUUACAGUGUGUUGUACUACUUUUGGGACAAAUUAUAUCAAAAUUAUAGAAAACUUUAUCGGCUCUAACUCAAAAUAUGGACAAUUUUAUGUUUAGGGCGUCUUGAAAUCUUUUGACAGCUUCCGAAGUGCUAAUUUUCAACCUUUUUCAGCUGGACCAAAUCACUACUUUCCUUUAAAAUUCUGGACCCAAAUUUUUUUACAGUGUAAUUUCACCCCCCUAUUUGAAAUUUGAGGCAUUAAACAUGGAGAAAUAAAUUUGGAAGGGGUAUACAAAUUAAUGGCAAGUAACCCACUGUAAACACUAGGG